Molecule: transfer RNA, 70 nt
Filed under: Pheidole taipoana
Lineage: Eukaryota; Metazoa; Arthropoda; Insecta; Hymenoptera; Formicidae
Description: tRNA-Lys
Source: RNAcentral
CAUUAAAUGACUGAAAAAGUAUUGAUUUUUUAAAUCAAAUAAUAAUAGUUAUUCGCCCUAUUUUUAAUGA